CAGCAGCUCAAGUGGUGAUCCUUAUUAUUGGGCCUAAAGCGUCCGUAGCCUGUCUGGUAAAUCCUUGGGUAAAUCGUACCGCUUAACGGUACGACCUCUGGGGAGACUGCUAGACUUGGGACUGGGAGAGGUCGGAGGUACUCCAGGGGUAGGGGUGAAAUCCUGUAAUCCCUGGGGGACCACCAGUGGCGAAGGCGUCCGACUAGAACGGAUCCGACGGUGAGGGACGAAGCCGUGGGGCACAAACCGGAUUAGAUACCCGAGUAGUCC
This 270-nucleotide ribosomal RNA is filed under the name uncultured archaeon. RNAcentral describes it as "partial 16S ribosomal RNA". It matches the Rfam family "Archaeal small subunit ribosomal RNA", at positions 477 to 747 of the family's 1478-position model. The record is from RNAcentral.